Molecule: transfer RNA, 72 nt
Organism: Camelus ferus (Wild Bactrian camel)
Lineage: Eukaryota; Metazoa; Chordata; Mammalia; Artiodactyla; Camelidae
Rfam family: tRNA
About the family: Transfer RNA (tRNA) molecules are approximately 80 nucleotides in length. Their secondary structure includes four short double-helical elements and three loops (D, anti-codon, and T loops).
Source: Rfam
GAGGGUAUAGCUUAGUGGCAGAGUGCACCCUUAGCAUGCACGAAGUCCUGGGUUCAAUCCCCAGUACCUCCA